GGAAGUCCACUUCAAUUCGACGCGGGCCAUGCAUAGCGACGUCUGCGAUCGCACUGCAGAGGUCAGGGGUUCGAUUCCCCUCGGCUCCACCA
RNAcentral lists this transfer RNA (92 nucleotides) under Hyphomicrobium sp. RNAcentral describes it as "tRNA-Ala". Lineage: Bacteria; Pseudomonadati; Pseudomonadota; Alphaproteobacteria; Hyphomicrobiales; Hyphomicrobiaceae. The record is from RNAcentral.